CAGACGCAGUUAAAAAUACUUCGCAUAAAAUAGACCCGCUGGACGAUAAAAAGAAUAGUCCAGGCAAAAAAAGGACAUCCCGACGAACCAAAAAAAAAAGAAUAAAGAGGUUCGGGAAAAAAUUAGGGAUAUAUAUAAAAAAAAAAGAGUACACCUGGUGAGUCGAAAACCCAAAAGGGCGGCUCAGGCAAAAAUGGGUAUCCCGGUGGAUUGAAAACCCAAAAGGGCGGUCCACGCAAAAGUUAGGGAAUAAGCGAAUGACUAUGAUCUGAGUUCAUCAGUGUUAUAUCACCGUUUCAUCCAAUCCGGCAAUCUUCGAAGGUUAAAGAUCGACUAAUCAUCCACUUCAGAAAGCAAG
This 358-nucleotide long non-coding RNA is filed under the name Lathyrus oleraceus (garden pea). Its description in RNAcentral is "Pisum sativum (pea) long non-coding RNA (PSAT_LNC019529)". The record is from RNAcentral. Lineage: Eukaryota; Viridiplantae; Streptophyta; Magnoliopsida; Fabales; Fabaceae.